CGCAUCAACCUAUCAGGUCUACUUUGCCAGUUCACAUGGUCGCCUACUGAAGCUAAGCAGGGCUGCGCCCGGUCAGUACUUGGAUGGGAGACCACAUGGGAAAACUAAGUUGUUGCUGGAA
Ribosomal RNA from Danio rerio (zebrafish), 121 nucleotides. Lineage: Eukaryota; Metazoa; Chordata; Actinopteri; Cypriniformes; Danionidae. The record is from Ensembl.